Molecule: long non-coding RNA, 1795 nt
Organism: Antechinus flavipes (yellow-footed antechinus)
Lineage: Eukaryota; Metazoa; Chordata; Mammalia; Dasyuromorphia; Dasyuridae
Exons: 12
Source: RefSeq, a predicted model, not a curated record
UUCAAUAAAAAUGUUAUGUCAAAAAAGGUCCCUAUGUGAAAAUGUAUAAGAAUUUUAGCUAUUCCUUUCUUAAUAUUUUGACCAAGUUCACCUCAUUUUGAUGAGCAAAGUCAAAUGGGUAGAAAGAGAAUGAAAAAUAGAGACAGAAAAUAAGGGGCAUUUAGCAGAAGUAGGAUGAAAGAGGGAAGAAGGGAAGAAAAAAGAAGGAAGGAAGGAAGAAUGGAAGAGGUUAAGGAAGGAAGGAGGGAAGGCAGGAUAAAAAUGAAAAAACAGAUUUUAAAUUGGAAAGAAAAAUGAACACGAUUCAAUGAAUUCUUUUCUGUCUAGCAGUGAAAUAGCAGUUCUCUUGUUAAAUAAGAAGCAACAGAAAGGACCCCCAAGUCAUGGUCAUUGUGGGAUUUCUCAGGGGACCCCCUGAUCUCCUUCAUCAGUCAAGCACCAAGUGUGAAUUAGGACCGAUAUCCUUUCUAAGUAUGAAUCACACCACAGUCCCUCUGUUUUCAUCAGCUUUAUUUACCUUUUUAAAUCUAAACUUGUCCUGGGAAUUUUUAUCAAUGUUUUUACCAGUGGCGUGCUCCCUCAGGUGUAGCCAGAAUUUGUUUGCGGCCUGGAGAGCAUGGGGGAAAUCCAGUCUCACAUUAAUCCAGAAAUGAUCAGGAGAAGCCUCCACGUCACUGACAGCCACUGAUCUCUCAGUGGACCCCCUGAUCUCGUUCUACAGUUGAGCGGCAAGUGUCAAUGAGGAUCAGUGUCUUCUAUCUCAUUCACUAGUGGAGCACCAAGUUGAAAGCAACUCUCUCAUUAAAUAUAACAGAAAUGAAAGUAUCACCAAGUCUUUGUCAAUCUUGUAUAAUCUCAGUGGACCCCCCUGAUCUCAUUCACCAAUUGAGCAACAAGUGUGAAUAAGGAAGGACCAAGAUCAUCCAUCUCUUCCAUCAAUGUCAAUAAGGACCAAUAUCUUUCCUGGAAGAAUGUACUUCUCAUGUUAAUUAAAAGGAACAGAAAGAAGCUCUAAGUCAUUGUCAACCUCAGAUUUCUCAGUGGAUCCCCUGGGGAGUAGGAAAGAUGGCCCCCUGCUGAGUAUCAAAGGUGGUCCUUGGAUCUCCACCAGUUGAGCACCAAGUCUCAAUAAGGACCACAAUUGUCCAAUUUUUCAGGCAAAAAGAUUUCAUCAGUGGAAGAAGUUCAAGAAGCUCUUACCUAUACAACGCGGAAGCAUUUUGUCCAAGUCCUUUAUGAUCCUGCAGCAGUUUCCUCCACUCGUUCUGAUUUUCAGACCCGCUUGACUGCAUACUCAGUGUAGUGCUGAAGAUACGAAGAGACGGUGAUAGAAAAAAGAAAAAGGGGGGAGGGAGAGAGAGAGAACAGCGCUCGGGACUCAGUGAAUUCACACAACUUGUCCGGGGGAAUUUCAGUCUCGAGCCAGUGACAGAACACGCGGAAGGGUCAGCCAAGUCACUGCCAGCCUGGCAUUGUCAGUGGACCCCCUGGUGAGUGGGAAAGGCGGCCUUGGGCCAGAAUGCUGAAAAGGGCCCAUUUUUUUCUAAAAUGACUGAAGAGGAUGGAUUCUGGGCUUUCUGAGUCAAUGGGCUUGACUUCUAUCUGCCAAAUACCGGUUGCUCCUGAGGGCUCAGUGGCCCUGCUAGAGUGUUCUAGAACACGUUCAUGGACUGGUCACAGGAAGGGUGAUGAUAGUUAGCUGCCUUCAGCAUAGGUCAAAGGGUGCCUGUCUUCCCUGGCUUCCUUCAAGUCCUUGCUAAAAUCUGAAUUUCUACAGGAAACUCCAGCAGAGUAC